CCCGGCGACCGGCGCACGGGUGAGUAACGCGUAUGCAACUUACCUAUCAGAGGGGGAUAACCCGGCGAAAGUCGGACUAAUACCGCAUGAAGCAGGGGCCCCGCGUGGGGAUAUUUGCUAAAGAUUCAUCGCUGAUAGAUAGGCAUGCGUUCCAUUAGGCAGUUGGCGGGGUAACGGCCCACCAAACCGACGAUGGAUAGGGGUUCUGAGAGGAAGGUCCCCCACAUUGGUACUGAGACACGGACCAA
This 248-nucleotide ribosomal RNA is filed under the name uncultured bacterium. Its description in RNAcentral is "partial 16S ribosomal RNA". It matches the Rfam family "Bacterial small subunit ribosomal RNA", at positions 87 to 334 of the family's 1533-position model. The record is from RNAcentral.